ACUCCUACGGGAGGCAGCAGUGGGGAAUAUUGCACAAUGGGGGAAACCCUGAUGCAGCAACGCCGCGUGAGUGAUGAAGGUCUUCGGAUCGUAAAGCUCUGUUUUCAGGGACGAUAAUGACGGUACCUGAGGAGGAAGCCACGGCUAACUACGUGCCAGCAGCCGCGGUAAU
RNAcentral lists this ribosomal RNA (172 nucleotides) under uncultured bacterium. RNAcentral describes it as "partial 16S ribosomal RNA". It matches the Rfam family "Bacterial small subunit ribosomal RNA", at positions 335 to 524 of the family's 1533-position model. The record is from RNAcentral.